RNAcentral lists this ribosomal RNA (198 nucleotides) under Triticum aestivum (bread wheat). RNAcentral describes it as "partial small subunit ribosomal RNA". The record is from RNAcentral. Lineage: Eukaryota; Viridiplantae; Streptophyta; Magnoliopsida; Poales; Poaceae.
AUGAGAAGAAUUGAAGAUUUUAGAGAAUGUCAUCAUGAUAUUGUAAGCCUAGCUAAAAAGAUGGUUGAAUUUGAAAGGUACAUCAUGCUUCCUACGGUUUAUCGCCUCAUUGAGUUGGCAUUGCUACUAUCGGUAGCGAUGGCAACAGUUGAAAGGGCUCUUUCAGCAAUGAAAAUCAUUGUCCGGUGGCUGGCAUAA